Molecule: ribosomal RNA, 910 nt
Filed under: Incrucipulum radiatum (nom. inval.)
Lineage: Eukaryota; Fungi; Ascomycota; Leotiomycetes; Helotiales; Lachnaceae
Description: SSU rRNA
Rfam family: Eukaryotic small subunit ribosomal RNA
Source: RNAcentral
UUGGAUAACCGUGGUAAUUCUAGAGCUAAUACAUGCUAAAAACCCCGACUUCGGAAGGGGUGUAUUUAUUAGAUAAAAAACCAAUGCCCUUCGGGGCUCCUUGGUGAUUCAUAAUAACUUAACGAAUCGCAUGGCCUUGUGCCGGCGAUGGUUCAUUCAAAUUUCUGCCCUAUCAACUUUCGAUUGUAGAGUAGUGGUCUACAAUGGUUUCAACGGGUAACGGGGAAUUAGGGUUCUAUUCCGGAGAGGGAGCCUGAGAAACGGCUACCACAUCCAAGGAAGGCAGCAGGCGCGCAAAUUACCCAAUCCCGACCCGGGGAGGUAGUGACAAUAAAUACUGAUACAGGGCUCUUUUGGGUCUUGUAAUUGGAAUGAGUACAAUUUAAAUCCCUUAACGAGGAACAAUUGGAGGGCAAGUCUGGUGCCAGCAGCCGCGGUAAUUUCCAGCUCCAAUAGCGUAUAUUAAAGUUGUUGCAGUUAAAAAGCUCGUAGUUGAACCUUGGGCCUGGUUGGCCGGUCCGCCUCACCGCGUGCACUGGUCCGACCGGGCCUUUCCUUCUGGGGAGCCGCAUGCCCUUCACUGGGUGUGUCGGGGAACCAGGACUUUUACUUUGAAAAAAUUAGAGUGUUCAAAGCAGGCCUAUGCUCGAAUACAUUAGCAUGGAAUAAUAGAAUAGGACGUGUGGUUCUAUUUUGUUGGUUUCUAGGACCGCCGUAAUGAUUAAUAGGGAUAGUCGGGGGCAUCAGUAUUCAAUUGUCAGAGGUGAAAUUCUUGGAUUUAUUGAAGACUAACUACUGCGAAAGCAUUUGCCAAGGAUGUUUUCAUUAAUCAGUGAACGAAAGUUAGGGGAUCGAAGACGAUCAGAUACCGUCGUAGUCUUAACCAUAAACUAUGCCGACUAGGGAUCGG